AUCAUAUAUAGUAAUGUAAAUAUAAG
This 26-nucleotide non-coding RNA is filed under the name Trypanosoma brucei brucei. Lineage: Eukaryota; Euglenozoa; Kinetoplastea; Trypanosomatida; Trypanosomatidae. The record is from RNAcentral.